CCACAGAGCUCAUAAUCAAUGCUGAGUCAUUCCUGGAGCACUGGGGGUCCCCAGGAUUCAUCUUCGGCUUUUGUUUCCACGAAAAGAAUAGAAGAGCUUUUUGGUGGCAUUUUGGAAGGCUCAGAUUUCUUUAAAACAUCUGUCUAGGGAAAUUUGAACUAAUUUCUCUUUUAUUUCCCUUUCGUAAAAAUUCCCAUUAGUAAGCAAAUGCAUUCAAAACCAUUCCCUUGAUCUUAUAACUGUAUUUUAUAAAAAUACCCUCAAGUUUUUCCUUUUGUCCUAUAGGCUGAAAGUGCUACAGUGGAAUGUCUGAAUGGCACACAGGAGCGAAGGCAGCUGGGACAUUAGGGCUGGUCAAGUUUGGCAAGGGGCCGCUAGGCUGCCCUUCGAGUGGUGCAGUAGACACAUGGGGCGGGGGUUUGGCUUCAUCCUUUUUGUUUCUGACCCUGUUUUCAAGGACAUAUUAUAAAAAGUUAAGACUUCUUGAAUUUAUUAAAAACUAUAAUGGAAAUUAAA
Leopardus geoffroyi (Geoffroy's cat) is the source of this 516-nucleotide long non-coding RNA. RefSeq lists it as uncharacterized. The transcript has 2 exons. The record is from RefSeq and is a predicted model, not a curated record. NCBI's taxonomy places the organism in Eukaryota, Metazoa, Chordata, Mammalia, Carnivora, Felidae.